This 514-nucleotide ribosomal RNA is filed under the name uncultured eukaryote. Its description in RNAcentral is "partial 18S ribosomal RNA". It matches the Rfam family "Eukaryotic small subunit ribosomal RNA", at positions 613 to 1125 of the family's 1831-position model. The record is from RNAcentral.
UUGCGGUUAAAAAGCUCGUAGUUGGAUCUCGGCGGGCAGGGGGUGGUUCGCUCUUCAGCGCUACUGCCCCGCUUUGCCCGUGUGAUUGGCGGAGGUUUCGGGGUGCUCUUCGUUGAGUGACUCGGAGCGCCGUCAGGUUUACUUUGAAAAAAUUAGAGUGCUCAAAGCAGGCUUUUCACGCUUGAAUAUUCGUGCAUGGAAUAAUGGAAUAGGAACUCGUUUCUAUUUUGUUGGUUUUCGGAAAUCGAGUUAAUGAUUAACAGGGACAAUUGGGGGCAUUAGUAUUCAGACGACAGAGGUGAAAUUCUUGGACCGUCUGAAGACUGACUACUGCGAAAGCAUUUGCCAAGAGUGUUUUCACUAAUCAAGAACGAAAGUUAGAGGUUCGAAGGCGAUCAGAUACCGCCCUAGUUCUAACCAUAAACGAUGCCAGCUAGCGAUCUGCCGAGUUUUUUUUGUAAGCUCCGCAAGAAGCUUUCGGGAAACCAAAGCUUUUGGGUUCCGGGGGGAAGUA